RNAcentral lists this ribosomal RNA (1040 nucleotides) under Bacillus sp. I-S2-15. RNAcentral's name for it is "bacterial SSU rRNA". It matches the Rfam family "Bacterial small subunit ribosomal RNA", at positions 36 to 1063 of the family's 1533-position model. The record is from RNAcentral. Lineage: Bacteria; Bacillati; Bacillota; Bacilli; Caryophanales; Bacillaceae.
UUGGCUGCGGUGCUAUAAUGCAGUCGAGCGGACUGAUGGGAGCUUGCUCCCAUCAGUCAGCGGCGGACGGGUGAGUAACACGUGGGUAACCUGCCUGUAAGACUGGGAUAACUCCGGGAAACCGGGGCUAAUACCGGAUAACUCAUUUCCUCGCAUGAGGAAAUGUUGAAAGAUGGCUUCUUGCUAUCACUUACAGAUGGACCCGCGGCGCAUUACCUAGUUGGUGAGGUAACGGCUCACCAAGGCGACAAUGCGUAGCCAACCUGAAAGGGUGAUCGGCCACACUGGGACUGAAACACGGCCCAAACUCCUACGGGAGGCAGCAGUAGGGAAUCUUCCGCAAUGGACGAAAGUCUGACGGAGCAACGCCGCGUGAGUGAUGAAGGUUUUCGGAUCGUAAAACUCUGUUGUUAGGGAAAAACAAGUACCGUUCGAAUAGGGCGGUACCUUGACGGUACCUAACCAAAAAGCCACGGCUAACUACGUGCCAGCAGCCGCGGUAAUACGUAGGUGGCAAGCGUUGUCCGGAAUUAUUGGGCGUAAAGCGCGCGCAGGUGGUUUCUUAAGUCUGAUGUGAAAGCCCACGGCUCAACCGUGGAGGGUCAUUGGAAACUGGGGAACUUGAGUGCAGAAAAGGAAAGUGGAAUUCCAAGUGUAGCGGUGAAAUGCGUAGAUAUUUGGAGGAACACCAGUGGCGAAGGCGACUUUCUGGUCUGUAACUGACACUGAGGCGCGAAAGCGUGGGGAGCAAACAGGAUUAGAUACCCUGGUAGUCCACGCCGUAAACGAUGAGUGCUAAGUGUUAGAGGGUUUCCGCCCUUUAGUGCUGCAGCUAACGCAUUAAGCACUCCGCCUGGGGAGUACGGUCGCAAGACUGAAACUCAAAGGAAUUGACGGGGGCCCGCACAAGCGGUGGAGCAUGUGUUUAAUUCGAAGCAACGCGAAGACCUUACAGGUCUUGACAUCCUCUGACACCCUAGAGAUAGGGCUUUCCCUUCGGGGACAGAGUGACAGGUGGUGCAUGGUUGUCGUCAGCUCGU